UACGAAGGGGGCUAGCGUUGCUCGGAAUCACUGGGCGUAAAGCGCACGUAGGCGGAUUCUUAAGUUAGGGGUGAAAUCCUGGAGCUCAACUCCAGAACUGCCUUUGAUACUGGGAGUCUUCGAGUCCGGGAGAGGUGAGUGGAACUGCGAGUGUAGAGGUGAAAUUCGUAGAUAUUCGCAAGAACACCAGUGGCGAAGGCGGCUCACUGGCCCGGUACUGACGCUGAGGUGCGAAAGCGUGGGGAGCAAACAGG
Molecule: ribosomal RNA, 254 nt
Filed under: uncultured bacterium
Lineage: Bacteria
Description: partial 16S ribosomal RNA
Rfam family: Bacterial small subunit ribosomal RNA
Source: RNAcentral